RNAcentral lists this ribosomal RNA (439 nucleotides) under uncultured bacterium. RNAcentral's name for it is "partial 16S ribosomal RNA". It matches the Rfam family "Bacterial small subunit ribosomal RNA", at positions 339 to 795 of the family's 1533-position model. The record is from RNAcentral.
CUACGGGUUGCAGCAGUGGGGAAUCUUAGACAACGGGGGAAACCCUGAUCUAGCCAUGCCGCGUGAGCGACGACGGCCCUAGGGUUGUAAAGCUCUUUCAGCAGGGAAGAUAAUGACGGUACCUGCAGAAGAAGUCCCGGCUAACUCCGUGCCAGCAGCCGCGGUAAUACGGAGGGGACUAGCGUUGUUCGGAAUUACUGGGCGUAAAGCGCGCGUAGGCGGAGUGUUAAGUCGGGGGUGAAAUCCCGGGGCUCAACCCCGGAACUGCCCUCGAUACUGGCAGUCUUGAGUUCGAGAGAGGUGAGUGGAAUGCCGAGUGUAGAGGUGAAAUUCGUAGAUAUUCGGAGGAACACCAGUGGCGAAGGCGGCUCACUGGCUCGAUACUGACGCUGAGGUGCGAAAGCGUGGGGAGCAAACAGGAUUAGAUACCCCUGUAGUC